CUUCUUCAGGGCAGGGUGAAAAUCCCGACCGGCGGUACAGCCCGCGAACCUCUUCCUUGCGGAGAGGCCGAUCCCGGUGUGAUUCCGGAGCCGACAGUUACAGUCUGGAUGAAAGAAGAG
RNAcentral lists this non-coding RNA (120 nucleotides) under bovine gut metagenome. Its description in RNAcentral is "FMN riboswitch (RFN element)". It matches the Rfam family "FMN riboswitch aptamer (RFN element)". Rfam says of the family: The RFN element is a highly conserved domain that is found frequently in the 5'-untranslated regions of prokaryotic mRNAs that encode for flavin mononucleotide (FMN) biosynthesis and transport proteins. This element is a metabolite-dependent riboswitch that directly binds FMN in the absence of proteins. The record is from RNAcentral.